AACGUACGCUGGCGGCACGCCUAACACAUGCAAGUCGAACGAAGUAGCAAUACUUAGUGGCAGACGGGUGAGUAACAUGUGGGUAUCUGCCCUUUGGCCUGGAAUAACACGAGGAAACUUGUGCUAAUACCGGAUAAGUCUUUACGGAGAAAGCUUUAUGCACCAUUGGAUGAGCCCGCACUUGAUUAGUUUGUUGGUAGGGUAAUGGCCUACCAAGACUGUGAUCAAUAGCUGAUUUGAGAGGAUGAUCAGCCACAUUGGGACUGAGACACGGCCCAAACUCCUACGGGAGGCAGCAGUGGGGAAUCUUGCACAAUGGAGGAAACUCUGAUGCAGCGAUGCCGCGUGAGUGAAGAAGGCCCUUGGGUUGUAAAGCUCUUUCGUCGGGGAAGAAAAUGACUGUACCCGAAUAGGAAGGUCCGGCUAACUUCGUGCCAGCAGCCGCGGUAAUACGAAGGGACCUAGCGUAGUUCGGAAUUACUGGGCUUAAAGAGUUCGUAGGUGGUUGAAAAAGUUAGUGGUGAAAGCCCAGAGCUUAACUCUGGAACUGCCAUUAAAACUUUUCAGCUAGAGUAUGAUAGAGGAAAGCAGAAUUUCUAGUGUAGAGGUGAAAUUCGUAGAUAUUAGAAAGAAUACCAAUUGCGAAGGCAGCUUUCUGGAUCAUUACUGACACUGAGGAACGAAAGCAUGGGUAGCGAAGAGGAUUAGAUACCCUCGUAGUCCAUGCCGUAAACGAUGUGUGUUAGACGUUGGAAAUUUAUUUUCAGUGUCGCAGGGAAACCGAUAAACACACCGCCUGGGGAGUACGACCGCAAGGUUAAAACUCAAAUGAAUUGACGGGGACCCGCACAAGUAGUGGAGCAUGUGGUUUAAUUCGAAGAUACGCGCAGAACCUUACCAACACUUGACAUGUUCGUCGCGACUCUAAGAGAUUAGAGUUUUCGGUUCGGCCGGACGAAACACAGGUGCUGCAUGGCUGUCGUCAGCUCGUGUCGUGAGAUGUUGGGUUAAGUCCCGCAACGAGCGCAACCCUCACUUUUAGUUGCCAUCAUUAAGUUGGGCACUCUGAAAGAACUGCCAGUGAUAAGCUGGAGGAAGGUGGGGAUGACGUCAAGUCCUCAUGGCCCUUACGUGUUGGGCUACACACGUGCUACAAUGGUAUCUACAACAGGAAGCAAGACUGCGAAGUUAAGCAAAUCCCUAAAAGAUACCUCAGUUCGGAUUGCACUCUGCAACUCGAGUGCAUGAAGCUGGAAUUACUAGUAAUCGUGGAUCAGCGUGCCACGGUGAAUGCGUUCCCGGGUCU
This 1306-nucleotide ribosomal RNA is filed under the name uncultured bacterium. Its description in RNAcentral is "bacterial SSU rRNA". It matches the Rfam family "Bacterial small subunit ribosomal RNA", at positions 28 to 1381 of the family's 1533-position model. The record is from RNAcentral.